GACGAACGCUGGCGGCGUGCUUAACACAUGCAAGUCGAACGAAGAGCGAUGGAAGCUUGCUUCUAUCAAUCUUAGUGGCGAACGGGUGAGUAACGCGUAAUCAACCUGCCCUUCAGAGGGGGACAACAGUUGGAAACGACUGCUAAUACCGCAUACGAUCUAAUCUCGGCAUCGAGGAUAGAUGAAAGGUGGCCUCUACAUGUAAGCUAUCACUGAAGGAGGGGAUUGCGUCUGAUUAGCUAGUUGGAGGGGUAACGGCCCACCAAGGCGAUGAUCAGUAGCCGGUCUGAGAGGAUGAACGGCCACAUUGGGACUGAGACACGGCCCAGACUCCUACGGGAGGCGGCAGUGGGGAAUCUUCCGCAAUGGACGAAAGUCUGACGGAGCAACGCCGCGUGAGUGAUGACGGCCUUCGGGUUGUAAAGCUCUGUUAAUCGGGACGAAAGGCCUUCUUGCGAAUAGUGAGAAGGAUUGACGGUACCGGAAUAGAAAGCCACGGCUAACUACGUG
RNAcentral lists this ribosomal RNA (510 nucleotides) under uncultured bacterium. RNAcentral describes it as "partial 16S ribosomal RNA". It matches the Rfam family "Bacterial small subunit ribosomal RNA", at positions 28 to 507 of the family's 1533-position model. The record is from RNAcentral.